GGCCGAGUACCCAAGUGGACUAAGGGGACGGAUUGCAAAUCCGUUAUUCGUCGGUUCGAAUCCGACCUCGGCCU
This 74-nucleotide transfer RNA is filed under the name Bacillota bacterium. RNAcentral's name for it is "tRNA-Cys". It matches the Rfam family "tRNA". From Rfam's summary of the family: Transfer RNA (tRNA) molecules are approximately 80 nucleotides in length. Their secondary structure includes four short double-helical elements and three loops (D, anti-codon, and T loops). Further hydrogen bonds mediate the characteristic L-shaped molecular structure. tRNAs have two regions of fundamental functional importance: the anti-codon, which is responsible for specific mRNA codon recognition, and the 3' end, to which the tRNAs corresponding amino acid is attached (by aminoacyl-tRNA synthetases). tRNAs cope with the degeneracy of the genetic code in two manners: having more than one tRNA (with a specific anti-codon) for a particular amino acid; and 'wobble' base-pairing, i.e. permitting non-standard base-pairing at the 3rd anti-codon position. Lineage: Bacteria; Bacillati; Bacillota. The record is from RNAcentral. RNAcentral also lists the same sequence under 4 other names.